RNAcentral lists this ribosomal RNA (457 nucleotides) under uncultured Curtobacterium sp. Its description in RNAcentral is "bacterial SSU rRNA". It matches the Rfam family "Bacterial small subunit ribosomal RNA", at positions 925 to 1382 of the family's 1533-position model. Lineage: Bacteria; Bacillati; Actinomycetota; Actinomycetes; Micrococcales; Microbacteriaceae. The record is from RNAcentral.
ACAAGCGGCGGAGCAUGCGGAUUAAUUCGAUGCAACGCGAAGAACCUUACCAAGGCUUGACAUACACCGGUAACGCCCAGAGAUGGGUGCCCCUUUGUGGUCGGUGGACAGGUGGUGCAUGGUUGUCGUCAGCUCGUGUCGUGAGAUGUUGGGUUAAGUCCCGCAACGAGCGCAACCCUCGUCCUAUGUUGCCAGCGGGUCAUGCCGGGGACUCAUGGGAGACUGCCGGGGUCAACUCGGAGGAAGGUGGGGAUGACGUCAAAUCAUCAUGCCCCUUAUGUCUUGGGCUUCACGCAUGCUACAAUGGCCGGUACAAAGGGCUGCGAUACCGCGAGGUGGAGCGAAUCCCAGAAAGCCGGUCUCAGUUCGGAUUGGGGUCUGCAACUCGACCCCAUGAAGUCGGAGUCGCUAGUAAUCGCAGAUCAGCAACGCUGCGGUGAAUACGUUCCCGGGCCUU